UACGAAGGGGGCUAGCGUUGUUCGGAAUUACUGGGCGUAAAGGGCGUGUAGGCGGUUUAUCAAGUCAGAUGUGAAAGCCCCGUGCUCAACAUGGGAACUGCAUUUGGGACUGGUGAACUGGAGUUCGGGAGAGGAGAGCGGAAUUCCCAGUGUAGAGGUGAAAUUCGUAGAUAUUGGGAAGAACACCGGUGGCGAAGGCGGCUCUCUGGACCGAUACUGACGCUGAGGCGCGAAAGCGUGGGGAGCAAACAGG
This 253-nucleotide ribosomal RNA is filed under the name uncultured bacterium. RNAcentral describes it as "partial 16S ribosomal RNA". It matches the Rfam family "Bacterial small subunit ribosomal RNA", at positions 524 to 776 of the family's 1533-position model. The record is from RNAcentral.